RNAcentral lists this transfer-messenger RNA (379 nucleotides) under Candidatus Sungiibacteriota bacterium. It matches the Rfam family "transfer-messenger RNA". From Rfam's summary of the family: Bacterial tmRNA, also known as 10Sa RNA or SsrA, is named for its dual tRNA and mRNA-like properties. Its role is to liberate the mRNA from a stalled ribosome. The record is from RNAcentral. Lineage: Bacteria; Candidatus Sungiibacteriota.
GGGGGUGAUAGGCCUCGACGAAAUAUUGUUCGCUCAAGGGGCAGGCCGAGGGCGCUUGGGACACCUCGCUAAAAACCCGCAACCAAUAAGUGCAAACUUAUUCAAAAACGCCUUUAGUCCUGCUCUUGCAGUAGCCUAACGGCGUCCCCGCUCCGGUAAGCCGGAGCGGCAUCGGCGGACGGAUGCUCGAUACGUCCUCACCGGUGUCACUUAUCGAGCUGGGCCGCGGAACUCCGGUACCGCGGCCGAGAUGCACCGGAAAAGCGUUGGAGGAUUUUGCCCGGUUUAACCGCCAAUGCCCAUACCAGCCGGGCUACGCCUGUAAACCUCAUGAGCCGGCAUAUUCCGGACGGGAGUUCAAUUCUCCCCACCUCCAUAC